Molecule: ribosomal RNA, 514 nt
Filed under: [Eubacterium] saphenum
Lineage: Bacteria; Bacillati; Bacillota; Clostridia; Peptostreptococcales; Anaerovoracaceae
Description: bacterial SSU rRNA
Rfam family: Bacterial small subunit ribosomal RNA
Source: RNAcentral
CUGAUGCAGCAACGCCGCGUGAGGUAUGAAGGCCUUUGGGUGUGUGAAGCCUCUGUCCUAGGGGAAGAAAAAAAUGACGGUACCCGAGGAGGAAGCCCCGGCUAACUACGUGCCAGCAGCCGCGGUAAUACGUAGGGGGCAAGCGUUAUCCGGAAUUAUUGGGCGUAAAGAGUGCGUAGGUGGUCUACUAAGCGCGAGGUGAAAGGCAAUGGCUCAACCAUUGUUAGCCUUGCGAACUGGCAGACUUGAGUGCAAGAGAGGAAAGCGGAAUUCCUAGUGUAGCGGUGAAAUGCGCAGAUAUUAGGAGGAACACCGGCGGCGAAGGCGGCUUUCUGGAUUGUAACUGACACUGAGGCACGAAAGCGUGGGUAGCAAACAGGAUCAGAUACCCUGGUAGUCCACGCCGUAAACGAUGAGCACUAGGUGUCGGGACAUGAGUCUCGGUGCCGCAGUUAACGCCAUAAGUGCUCGCCUGGGGAGUACGCACGCAGUGUAAACUCAAGGAAUUGACGGG